Molecule: ribosomal RNA, 200 nt
Filed under: uncultured bacterium
Lineage: Bacteria
Description: partial 16S ribosomal RNA
Rfam family: Bacterial small subunit ribosomal RNA
Source: RNAcentral
UACAGAGGUCCCGAGCGUUGUUCGGAUUCACUGGCGUAAAGGGUGCGUAGGUGGCCAUGAAAGUUUGAUGUGAAAUCUCCGGGCUUAACCCGGAAAAUGCAUUGAAUACUCUGUGGCUGGAGGUUUGGAGGGGGACUGGAAUUCUCGGUGUAGCAGUGAAAUGCGUAGAUAUCGAGAGGAACACCAGUGGCGAAGGCGGG